RNAcentral lists this transfer RNA (64 nucleotides) under Dipterophagus daci. RNAcentral describes it as "tRNA-Pro". The record is from RNAcentral. Lineage: Eukaryota; Metazoa; Arthropoda; Insecta; Strepsiptera; Halictophagidae.
CAAAAUUUAUUUUAAUAAAAAUAUUAACUUUGGAGGUUAAAGAUAACUUAGGUUUUAAUUUUGA